GACAACAAAGAAUGACAUGGAAAGUUGACGGGCAAAAUAAUAGACCCCACUUCAAUUAGUGAAAAUUCAAAAAUUUGGAGAUUUCAAAAUUUGAAUCCAAAACCAGAAGUACUUCUCGCGUCCCCCUUCUCUCACUCUUCUCUCAUCCCCGCCCAAACCAUCUCUCCAAAUCCGACGCACAACCAACACCGACGGACGACCACCGCCGACGCACAACCACCACCGACGGUUAUUCUCAGUUUCAGCCUCUCGCCUUGCUGGUUGUAGUGAACCAGUGACUGGAUUCCCUCGUGUCGUGCAUACAAAAUAUGGCUAUUUGGACGAUGUACACAGAGCUUGGGUGCAGCACAACGGACACACAACAACAGUUGAGCAAGUUCAGUUCCCUACAUUAUUGGAAUUUGUUGAAGGAAGUUCCAGUGAAACAGAAAAAUGAAGUUGGAUGUGGACUAUCCACAUGUUAAAUUAAUGUAAUUGACGUCCUGAUUCUAUUUUUUUGGAAUAAUGUAUGGCUUAAUGACAAUGCUAAACUUUGUACCUUCUUUUUAAAUGACAAUUGGGAUGAGAACAGCCCGGCAUGGGCUUAUGGAUGAAUUUUGGAUGUUCAUAAGUAGGAUGAUAAAAGGCUCGACGUGGGUUUAUUUGUGAGUUUCGAUUGUGAAUGGUAAUUUAGGAUGAGAAACGCCCGGCGUGGGCUUAUGGAUUUUAUGUGAA
Molecule: long non-coding RNA, 714 nt
Organism: Rhododendron vialii
Lineage: Eukaryota; Viridiplantae; Streptophyta; Magnoliopsida; Ericales; Ericaceae
Exons: 2
Source: RefSeq, a predicted model, not a curated record